RNAcentral lists this ribosomal RNA (315 nucleotides) under Triticum aestivum (bread wheat). RNAcentral describes it as "partial small subunit ribosomal RNA". The record is from RNAcentral. Lineage: Eukaryota; Viridiplantae; Streptophyta; Magnoliopsida; Poales; Poaceae.
AUGGAGGGGCGUCGAUAUGCAUCUAUGUCGGUGGGAGCGAGGUGGUGGGCUCAAGCACGCAUCCACAAUGAUCGACGGCGCGGGCAUGCAUCCAUGGGGCCGGCGGCAUGGGCAUUGAAUCCAUGGUGGAUGGCGGCGCAGUCCCGAGACCCUGGCGGUGGUCGGCAGGGGGAGAUAGAGGCCCAUGGCCAUGGCCAUGCUCAUGUGGGUCGGCAGGAGGCACGCCGGCCGGAGGCGGAUCCGUGGCAGGCGAGCUCCGACGGGGGCUCACGGCGACGCCGCUCGACGCUCCAAGGGUCGGCCAUGGUGGGGUGA